RNAcentral lists this long non-coding RNA (809 nucleotides) under Astyanax mexicanus (Mexican tetra). RNAcentral describes it as "lncRNA (ENSAMXG00005002686.1)". The record is from RNAcentral. Lineage: Eukaryota; Metazoa; Chordata; Actinopteri; Characiformes; Acestrorhamphidae.
UUACAUUCAUCUAAGCCGUGCUCUUGUGCUAUAAACUCAAUCCUCAAAAUACAUCUCAUUUGUUUUUUUCAGCUCCAAACUCUGUUCCAGCAGCAUCUCGGUGAGUGUAGCUCUACUGCUAAUGCUACCUCUGCCACUCCAACAUCAGUACCAUUAACAUCUACCCCCCCGCCCUCUGAGCUCAGCACUCUGUCAGACAUCAACACCACAGCAACCACAUCUGGCAACUUCAGUUCUACUCCUGAUACACAGAACGUCAGCACAGUGACUGAGGUUCAGUUUCAAAACUGGACGUCUGCAAGCAGUUCAGUAAAAGAAAAUGAAACGGCUACCAGCCCCUUUCAACAUGUUGAGGUCAUGUGUGAUGAGAAGACUGAAAUAAGGUUAGUUACGACUGUAGUGAUCUCUCUGAACCCUCCAUUAUAGUAUUGUGAUACAGUGAUGAACAUGAUCUCUGGUGACACUGGUUCUGUUUGUCACACAGGAAGACUUUGUGCACUGUACUGCUGCAGUUAAGUCAGGUUGCCAGUCCGUGCUGCAUCGCGCGCAUUGUGAACAUAGUUGAAAUCAACUCCACCAUACAGGGCCAGGUGAUUGGAAACCAAGUGCAGAGAGUGGGUAUGUAUUAUUACACGUCACACGUUCAGCAUGUGUCCAACAUUACAUAGUCAGGAUAUAAAAUCUGUUAAAAAUGAGUAUAGUUACUGUUUUUUUGUUUUGACCAAAACUCUAUAAGCCAACAGUGUGCCAUUUUAUGGUCUGCAUUAUUAAGAUUAGUACUUUAUAUCCUCCUGAGACCCGGACUUUAG